RNAcentral lists this ribosomal RNA (487 nucleotides) under uncultured bacterium. RNAcentral's name for it is "bacterial SSU rRNA". It matches the Rfam family "Bacterial small subunit ribosomal RNA", at positions 28 to 535 of the family's 1533-position model. The record is from RNAcentral.
GACGAACGCUGGCGGCGUGCUUAACACAUGCAAGUCGAACGGUGACGAGGAGCUUGCUCCUCUGAUCAGUGGCGAACGGGUGAGUAACACGUGAGCAACCUGCCCCAGACUCUGGGAUAACAGUUGGAAACAGCUGCUAAUACCGGAUACGAGACGGAGAGGCAUCUCUACCGUCUGGAAAGUUUUUUCGGCUGGGAUGGACUCGCGGCCUAUCAGCUAGUUGGUGAGGUAAUGGCUUACCAAGGCGACGACGGGUAGCCGGUCUGAGAGGAUGUACGGCCACACUGGGACUGAGAUACGGCCCAGACUCCUACGGGAGCAGCAGUUGGAAUCUUAGGCAAUGGACGAAAGUCUGACCUAGCGACGCCGCGUGAGGGAAGAAGGCCUUCGGGUUGUAAACCUCUGUCAGUGGGGAAAAGUAAGUGACGGUACCCAAGAGAAGCCCCUGCUAACUACGUGCCAGCAGCCGCGGUAAUGAAGUAGUAAC